GGGGCAGUGGCGGAAUUGGCAUACGCAGCGGACUUAAAAUCCGCCAGGCUAAAACCUAUGUGGGUUCGAGUCCCACCUGCCCCA
This 84-nucleotide transfer RNA is filed under the name Chloroflexota bacterium. RNAcentral's name for it is "Chloroflexi bacterium (marine metagenome) tRNA-Leu". It matches the Rfam family "tRNA". From Rfam's summary of the family: Transfer RNA (tRNA) molecules are approximately 80 nucleotides in length. Their secondary structure includes four short double-helical elements and three loops (D, anti-codon, and T loops). The record is from RNAcentral. Lineage: Bacteria; Bacillati; Chloroflexota.